UGAGGAAUAUUGCGCAAUGGGGGCAACCCUGACGCAGCGACGCCGCGUGGGCGAUGAAGGCCUUCGGGUCGUAAAGCCCUUUUCCCACUGACGAGACAAGGACGGUAGGUGGGGAAUAAGUCUCGGCUAACUACGUGCCAGCAGCCGCGGUAAAACGUAGGAGGCGAGCGUUAUCCGGAGUUACUGGGCGUAAAGCGCGUGUAGGCGGUCAGGGAAGUGGCUGGUGAAAGCGCUCGGCUUAACCGAGCAAGCGCCGGUCAGACUGCUUGGCUAGAGGUCUGGAGAGGGACGCGGAAUUCCGGGUGUAGCGGUGAAAUGUGCAGAGAUCCGGAGGAACACCAGCGCCGAAAGGGGCGUCCUGGCCAGAUACUGACGCUGAGACGCGACAGCGUGGGGAGCGAA
This 402-nucleotide ribosomal RNA is filed under the name uncultured bacterium. Its description in RNAcentral is "bacterial SSU rRNA". It matches the Rfam family "Bacterial small subunit ribosomal RNA", at positions 355 to 772 of the family's 1533-position model. The record is from RNAcentral.